GUUUGAUCAUGGCUCAGAUUGAACGCUGGCGGCAGGCCUUACACAUGCAAGUCGAGCGGAAACGAUGGGAGCUUGCUCCCAGGCGUCGAGCGGCGGACGGGUGAGUAACGCGUGGGAAUCUAUCCAGUAGCGGGGGAUAGCCCGGGGAAACCCGGAUUAAUACCGCAUACGCCCUACGGGGGAAAGCAGGGGAUCUUUUGACCUUGCACUAUUGGAUGAGCCCGCGUCGGAUUAGCUAGUUGGUGGGGUAAAGGCCUACCAAGGCGACGAUCCGUAGCUGGUCUGAGAGGAUGAUCAGCCACAUCGGGACUGAGACACGGCCCGAACUCCUACGGGAGGCAGCAGUGGGGAAUAUUGCGCAAUGGGCGAAAGCCUGACGCAGCCAUGCCGCGUGUGUGAAGAAGGCCCUAGGGUUGUAAAGCACUUUCAGUGAGGAGGAAAGGUUAUCGGUUAAUACCCGGUAACUGUGACGUUACCCACAGAAGAAGCACCGGCUAACUCCGUGCCAGCAGCCGCGGUAAUACGGAGGGUGCGAGCGUUAAUCGGAAUGACUGGGCGUAAAGCGCGCGUAGGUGGUUUGUUAAGUUGGAUGUGAAAGCCAGGGCUCAACCUUGGAAUUGCAUCCAAAACUGGCAGGCUAGAGUACAGUAGAGGGGGGUAGAACUUCCGGUGUAGCGGUGAAAUGCGUAGAGAUCGGAAGGAAUACCAGUGGCGAAGGCGGCCCCCUGGACUGAUACUGACACCGAAGUGCGUAAGCGUGGGUAGCGAACAGGAUUAGAUACCCUGGUAGUCCACGCCGUAAACGAUGUCUAUUAGCCGUUGGGCAGCUUGACUGUUUAGUGGCGCAGCUAACGCGAUAAAUAGACCGCCUGGGGAGUACGGCCGCAAGGUUAAAACUCAAAUGAAUUGACGGGGGCCCGCACAAGCGGUGGAGCAUGUGGUUUAAUUCGACGCAACGCGAAGAACCUUACCAGGUCUUGACAUCCUCGGAACUUUCUAGAGAUAGAUUAGUGCCUUCGGGAAUCGAGUGACAGGUGCUGCAUGGCUGUCGUCAGCUCGUGUCGUGAGAUGUUGGGUUAAGUCCCGUAACGAGCGCAACCCUUGUCCUUAGUUGCUAGCGGUUCGGCCGAGAACUCUAAGGAGACUGCCGGUGACAAACCGGAGGAAGGUGGGGACGACGUCAAGUCAUCAUGGCCCUUACGACCUGGGCUACACACGUGCUACAAUGGGCGGUACAGAGGGCUGCGACCCAGCGAUGGUGAGCCAAUCCCUUAAAACCGUUCGUAGUCCGGAUUGGAGUCUGCAACCCGACUCCAUGAAGCCGGAAUCGCUAGUAAUCGCGAAUCAGCAUGUCGCGGUGAAUACGUUCCCGGGCCUUGUACACACCGCCCGUCACACCAUGGGAGUGGGUUGCAAAAGAAGUGGCUAGUUUAACCUUCGGGGGAACGGUCACCACUUUGUGAUUCAUGACUGGGGUGAAGUCGUAACAAGGUA
This 1494-nucleotide ribosomal RNA is filed under the name metagenome. Its description in RNAcentral is "bacterial SSU rRNA". It matches the Rfam family "Bacterial small subunit ribosomal RNA". The record is from RNAcentral.